Fundulus heteroclitus (mummichog) is the source of this 880-nucleotide long non-coding RNA. RefSeq lists it as uncharacterized. The transcript has 3 exons. The record is from RefSeq and is a predicted model, not a curated record. NCBI's taxonomy places the organism in Eukaryota, Metazoa, Chordata, Actinopteri, Cyprinodontiformes, Fundulidae.
GAUAGACUUAUCCACCGGUGAGAACAACAUCUUGUAAUGAGGGCUUCAAGAUUCUGGGGCUACUGAAAGAGCUCCAGAAAAACCCAGCUGUUGUUCUUGACAUGUCCGUGUGUGAGGAGAGAGCCCUCACUGCCAGGGACAUGAGCCACAGUGGUCUAUUCUGCUCAGGGCAGCAACCAGCGAGUUCUGGAGAACCAGUUGGUCUGCUUUUGGAGAGACUGGCUGAUUGACAUUGAAGAAGAGGAGGAUGGUCCACCCCUCUCUCUCGAUGUUUAUCUCUGGAGCCUCUGCCAUCCCUCCACUUGUCUUUUCCUGCCAGCCUGAAAUCCAGUUUCUGCAUGACACCAAGACAAUUUACCCAGAAGCCAAUACUUGUUUUGUUGUCCUGUUGUAUCUGUCGCUGCACUCCUCCUACAACGCUUUUAGAAUAUACAUGAUGGAGGGAAUUUUGCAAGCUCCAACCUUUGGAGUUUCUUAAAUGAUCACGAAUGUGACAGUGAAAGGUUACGCUGUAAGGUGAUGACGGGUUUGCAUGUUUGUCCAGCUGUUGUUAAUGUUUUACUUAAUUUUAAGAUAAAACAUGGUUUUACAAGUCUGAAAUGUGCACCAGUGUUUAAAAAAUACUCUUCAUAUGUUUUUUAAUGAAAGCCUUUAGCUGGUUCUGAGGAUAAAAUAUCAGAAGACUGUGCCAGAUGAUUUCAGGUUCUGCCAUUAAACUUCUGAAAUUGUUUUAGAUUUUGACAACUUUCAGGAAAUUGAUAAAUUGUUAUCCAAGACUAUCAUAUGUUCUCUUCAAGGUUUGUCUUUAUGGCAAUAAAGAAAAUACAGUAUUGCUGCAAAUGAACUCCCAUCUGUUUACAUAUUUUGUGUAGCCACAAUU